CAGUCGCCGCGGUAAUACAGAGGGUGCGAGCGUUAAUCGGAUUUACUGGGCGUAAAGCGUGCGUAGGCGGCUUUUUAAGUCGGAUGUGAAAUCCCUGAGCUUAACUUAGGAAUUGCAUUCGAUACUGGGAAGCUAGAGUAUGGGAGAGGAUGGUAGAAUUCCAGGUGUAGCGGUGAAAUGCGUAGAGAUCUGGAGGAAUACCGAUGGCGAAGGCAGCCAUCUGGCCUAAUACUGACGCUGAGGUACGAAAGCAUGGGGAGCAAACAGGAUUAGAUACCCCUGUAGUCCCUGUCUCCUUAUA
This 301-nucleotide ribosomal RNA is filed under the name uncultured bacterium. RNAcentral's name for it is "partial 16S ribosomal RNA". It matches the Rfam family "Bacterial small subunit ribosomal RNA", at positions 509 to 809 of the family's 1533-position model. The record is from RNAcentral.